AGUGGCCAGCUAUUAGGAACUCUACUCACUCUUGCCAAUUUUCUAGUGACUGCUUGUGUUAUCGCUGUCUGAAAAAUAGGGGUAUUUUUUUUUUUUUGACCAAGAAAAAACAAGAUGCAUUUGGUCAUCAAAAGCAAGCCUUUCAGAGAGGGCGAUUCAGAGUGUGGUGGAGAGCAAAUGCAUGCUUGUUAAAGCCACAGCCAUUCGCUCCUUUGCCAAGCUCUGUUAUUCCAGAAACAGCUGCUCUGAAGGUUGGCUGAGGUCUUGUUUAGAGAAUCAAUUAGCCAAAGAAGUUUAGGCCAGUGAAGAAUGUCGCUCAAGUAUAGAAAGAUUUGGAAAACACAUAUUUUUGUGUUUCCUGCAGGAAAACUUGCUCAUGUUCUGCACAGCUAAUAUGCCAUGUAACUUCACAAAGAAAUGAAGCAGUCAGGAUGGGUUUCAUGGAUGGCUUUAUUAGCAAAGACGCCGACCAAAUGAAAACUGGAGCCCAACCAAUGAUGAGAAAUAGCCCAAAGAUUCCUGGGACCGAUCACAGUCCUCAGGAGUACCUGAGUUCAAUGCCCAGUUUCAACUCCUGACUAGGUUCCUGCU
Molecule: long non-coding RNA, 591 nt
Filed under: Oryctolagus cuniculus (rabbit)
Lineage: Eukaryota; Metazoa; Chordata; Mammalia; Lagomorpha; Leporidae
Description: lncRNA (ENSOCUG00000035572.1)
Source: RNAcentral